RNAcentral lists this ribosomal RNA (253 nucleotides) under uncultured bacterium. RNAcentral describes it as "partial 16S ribosomal RNA". It matches the Rfam family "Bacterial small subunit ribosomal RNA", at positions 524 to 776 of the family's 1533-position model. The record is from RNAcentral.
UACGAAGGGUGCAAGCGUUAAUCGGAAUUACUGGGCGUAAAGCGCGCGUAGGUGGUUCAGUAAGUUGGAAGUGAAAUCCCCGGGCUCAACCUGGGAACUGCUUUCAAAACUGCUGAGCUAGAGUACGGUAGAGGGUGGUGGAAUUUCCUGUGUAGCGGUGAAAUGCGUAGAUAUAGGAAGGAACACCAGUGGCGAAGGCGACCACCCGGACUGAUACUGACACUGAGGUGCGAAAGCGUGGGGAGCAAACAGG